Molecule: transfer RNA, 58 nt
Filed under: Corynebacterium sp.
Lineage: Bacteria; Bacillati; Actinomycetota; Actinomycetes; Mycobacteriales; Corynebacteriaceae
Also listed under: 2 other names
Description: tRNA-Trp
Rfam family: tRNA
About the family: Transfer RNA (tRNA) molecules are approximately 80 nucleotides in length. Their secondary structure includes four short double-helical elements and three loops (D, anti-codon, and T loops). Further hydrogen bonds mediate the characteristic L-shaped molecular structure. tRNAs have two regions of fundamental functional importance: the anti-codon, which is responsible for specific mRNA codon recognition, and the 3' end, to which the tRNAs corresponding amino acid is attached (by aminoacyl-tRNA synthetases). tRNAs cope with the degeneracy of the genetic code in two manners: having more than one tRNA (with a specific anti-codon) for a particular amino acid; and 'wobble' base-pairing, i.e. permitting non-standard base-pairing at the 3rd anti-codon position.
Source: RNAcentral
GGCGCAAUUGGUAGCGCAACGGUCUCCAAAACCGUAGGUUGCAGGUUCGAGUCCUGUC